This 219-nucleotide long non-coding RNA is filed under the name Olea europaea (common olive). RNAcentral's name for it is "long non-coding RNA (OEUR_LNC006630)". Lineage: Eukaryota; Viridiplantae; Streptophyta; Magnoliopsida; Lamiales; Oleaceae. The record is from RNAcentral.
GAAACCAUGCUUGGAUUUUUAUCAUGAUAAUACUACACAAAAGAAUGCAAUCAAACCCAUACUUGCACAUUCCGGUUUGCCGGUGCCCUUCGGACUUGUCCUAAGGCAUAAAUAGAUAUCUAACUUUGUGGACUUGUCCACCAUAAUCAUAUUAUGGUUUUUCAUGCAUAGCUUAAGCAUAAAUAUUACCAUGAAAAUCAUAACUCUUAAGCAUGGAAG